This 253-nucleotide ribosomal RNA is filed under the name uncultured bacterium. RNAcentral describes it as "partial 16S ribosomal RNA". It matches the Rfam family "Bacterial small subunit ribosomal RNA", at positions 524 to 776 of the family's 1533-position model. The record is from RNAcentral.
UACGUAGGGUGCGAGCGUUAAUCGGAAUUACUGGGCGUAAAGCGUGCGCAGGCGGCUUUGCAAGACAGAUGUGAAAUCCCCGGGCUUAACCUGGGAACUGCGUUUGAAACUACAAGGCUAGAGUGUGGCAGAGGGGGGUGGAAUUCCACGUGUAGCAGUGAAAUGCGUAGAGAUGUGGAGGAACACCGAUGGCGAAGGCAGCCCCCUGGGUUAACACUGACGCUCAGGCACGAAAGCGUGGGGAGCAAACAGG